UUGCAGUGAUGAUACUAUUACCCAGCUCAUUAUGAAACCUCCCUUUGUGGGUAAUCGUGAUAUGAACUUCUCUUUUGUAUCUGAGCAUU
RNAcentral lists this small nucleolar RNA (89 nucleotides) under Triticum aestivum (bread wheat). RNAcentral also lists the same sequence under 1 other name. The record is from RNAcentral. Lineage: Eukaryota; Viridiplantae; Streptophyta; Magnoliopsida; Poales; Poaceae.